Molecule: ribosomal RNA, 495 nt
Filed under: uncultured bacterium
Lineage: Bacteria
Description: partial 16S ribosomal RNA
Rfam family: Bacterial small subunit ribosomal RNA
Source: RNAcentral
GACGAACGCUGGCGGCGUGCCUAAUACAUGCAAGUAGAACGCUGAAGGAGGAGCUUGCUUCUCCGGAUGAGUUGCGAACGGGUGAGUAACGCGUAGGUAACCUGCCUGGUAGCGGGGGAUAACUAUUGGAAACGAUAGCUAAUACCGCAUAAGAGUAGAUGUUGCAUGACAUUUGCUUAAAAGGUGCAAUUGCAUCACUACCAGAUGGACCUGCGUUGUAUUAGCUAGUUGGUGGGGUAACGGCUUACCAAGGCGACGAUACAUAGCCGACCUGAGAGGGUGAUCGGCCACACUGGGACGGAGACACGGCCCAGACUCCUACGGGAGGCAGCAGUAGGGAAGCUUCGGCAAUGGACGGAAGUCUGACCGAGCAACGCCGCGUGAGUGAAGAAGGUUGUCGGAUCGUAAAGCUCUGUUGUAAGAGAAGAACGAGUGUGAGAGUGGAAAGUUCACACUGUGACGGUAUCUUACCAGAAAGGGACGGCUAACUACGUG